UGAGACUUGUGUGUGCUGCAUAGCCUGUCU
RNAcentral lists this non-coding RNA (30 nucleotides) under Rattus norvegicus (Norway rat). Lineage: Eukaryota; Metazoa; Chordata; Mammalia; Rodentia; Muridae. The record is from RNAcentral.